UACGUAGGGUGCAAGCGUUAAUCGGAAUUACUGGGCGUAAAGCGUGCGUAGGUGGUCUGUUAAGUCUGAUGUGAAAGCCCUGGGCUCAACCUGGGAAUUGCAUUGGAUACUGGCAGGCUAGAGUGCGGUAGAGGGUAGUGGAAUUCCCGGUGUAGCAGUGAAAUGCGUAGAGAUCGGGAGGAACACCAGUGGCGAAGGCGACUACCUGGACUAGCACUGACACUGAGGCACGAAAGCGUGGGGAGCAAACAGG
RNAcentral lists this ribosomal RNA (253 nucleotides) under uncultured bacterium. RNAcentral's name for it is "partial 16S ribosomal RNA". It matches the Rfam family "Bacterial small subunit ribosomal RNA", at positions 524 to 776 of the family's 1533-position model. The record is from RNAcentral.